This is a non-coding RNA of Danio rerio (zebrafish), 301 nucleotides long. Lineage: Eukaryota; Metazoa; Chordata; Actinopteri; Cypriniformes; Danionidae. The record is from Ensembl.
CUCUCAUAUUUAUUUCAAGUUCAACGGCACAUUGUGAUGGUUCGUAAAAAUACGUCUUCACUUACAUUCGUUUUUCUUCUUAGUUUGGAGAAAGUAAAAGCCAUUUAAUGUCCAGAAACACUCGAGAAGUCGCCCAAAUAUGAACACUAGUAACUCCUGUACAGUUGUGUGAACACGUGCGCGACAUUCGAGGAUGGAGAAAUGCGUUUGAGUGGAACGAUGUCUUCAUUAACGAGGGCGUCUUCCUGUUCUGCUCCAUGGGAAGUGACAUCAUCGAGUCUUCUGAUGACCUCAUCAGCAG